Molecule: unclassified non-coding RNA, 348 nt
Filed under: soil metagenome
Description: partial contains 5.8S ribosomal RNA, internal transcribed spacer 2, and large subunit ribosomal RNA
Rfam family: 5.8S ribosomal RNA (bases 1-120)
Source: RNAcentral
GAUGAAGAACGCAGCGAAAUGCGAUAAGUAAUGUGAAUUGCAGAAUUCAGUGAAUCAUCGAAUCUUUGAACGCACAUUGCGCCCGCCAGUAUUCUGGCGGGCAUGCCUGUCCGAGCGUCAUUUCAACCCUCGAACCCCUCCGGGGGGUCGGCGUUGGGGAUCGGCACUUACCUGCCGGCCCCGAAAUACAGUGGCGGUCUCGCCGCAGCCUCUCCUGCGCAGUAGUUUGCACACUCGCACCGGGAGCGCGGCGCGUCCACGGCCGUAAAACAACCCAAACUUCUGUAAUGUUGACCUCGGAUCAGGUAGGAAUACCCGCUGAACUUAAGCAUAUCAAUAAGCGGAGGA